ACCCGCACAAGCGGUGGAUGAUGUGGAUUAAUUCGAUGCAACGCGAAGAACCUUACCUACCCUUGACAUGUCCGGAACUUGCCAGAGAUGGCUUGGUGCCCGAAAGGGAAUCGGAACACAGGUGCUGCAUGGCUGUCGUCAGCUCGUGUCGUGAGAUGUUGGGUUAAGUCCCGCAACGAGCGCAACCCUUGUCAUUAGUUGCCAUCAUUUGGUUGGGCACUCUAAUGAGACUGCCGGUGACAAACCGGAGGAAGGUGGGGAUGACGUCAAGUCCUCAUGGCCCUUAUGGGUAGGGCUUCACACGUCAUACAAUGGUCGGUACAGAGGGUUGCCAACCCGCGAGGGGGAGCUAAUCCCACAAAGCCGAUCGUAGUCCGGAUCGCAGUCUGCAACUCGACUGCGUGAAGUCGGAAUCGCUAGUAAUCGUGGAUCAGCAUGUCACGGUGAAUACGUUCCCGGGUCUU
This 464-nucleotide ribosomal RNA is filed under the name uncultured Rhodocyclaceae bacterium. RNAcentral's name for it is "bacterial SSU rRNA". It matches the Rfam family "Bacterial small subunit ribosomal RNA", at positions 919 to 1382 of the family's 1533-position model. The record is from RNAcentral. Lineage: Bacteria; Pseudomonadati; Pseudomonadota; Betaproteobacteria; Rhodocyclales; Rhodocyclaceae.